GUAGGGAAGUGUAGUGCUUAGUGCUGGAACAAGCCUUGUGCCUGCUCCCUGUGCCAUCCCAGGGGUGAUGGACCCCAUCCUGCUCCCACUUAUUGCCCAAAGAAAGCAUUGUUGUCCCCCUGGCACUGUGAUGCAAAGUUCACGUUCUCUUCUGGUUGGAUUCCUGAGAGUCUGUGGGACAUUGUGCAGCGACCUUUUUUUUUUAGGAACGGCUGCACUGAAUUCAGCCCUGUGCAAGUGCUGAGAUUUUAGAAGAGCCGGGUGCAUCCUGACAGAAAGACACAAGCUGAGCUAAUAAGAACUGCAGCAGAUUUUGCAUGCACGUUGCAAACUGUGUCCCGAAAGGAGCAGGAUGGGGUGGAAGAGGCAGCGGCCACUGGCAGAGGAACGCAGGGCUGAGUCACGGCCGCAUCGUGCCAGCACUGCCUGCCCGCUGCCUGCAGUGCCUGGGAGAGUUCUCCGUGUUUCUCUCUCUUCCCUUUCUGCACAGGAAUCGUUACUCACUCUGCACACAAUGCCAGGGUAUUCUAUGUCUCUGUGAUGGCAGCAGAGUGCAGCCCUAGGGCUUGACCCCAGCCUCAGCCUUUGCUUGGGGACAGUUAGCAUGGAGACAGCACCUGCCUGCAUAGCCUGAGCUUGCUUGGAGGGAAGUCAAUGGUAACGGCCUUCUCUAUGAAAGGAACACUAAGUUUACCUGUGAAGGAGGUAUUCCCACCUACGCCAAAUGCAUGACUGGAGAGAAUUUCAAGGCGUGGGCAUAGAUGCAUGUAACAGAGACUUGAUUUAAAUAAAAAUUGAGUCCAAAUUACUCAUCUGCUUUAAGGACUUUAGUUGUACACAUGUGAACGUCACUGCCCAGCAUGGUUCAUCACAGCUUCCCCUGCUUUUAACACCAUACAGGUCACACUGAAACCCAGUGAUAUCACUGUUCCAAAAUCCCCUUUAUCCUCAUGGUGAAUAUGAACACAGUGUUUUAAACACCUUUGUUAAUCCCUGCUGGAGAAUAACAAAUCAUUCGUUUGAUUAAACUUUAUCUCUCAGACUUGGACAGACAUGGCUGCAACAUGAAAUGCCCCAAGUGAUAAGAGAGCUGAGCGGAGCAGGUCACACUAACUCUGUGUUGAAACACAGAUUUAGAUGUUAUACUGAUCUUCAGGUGAAGGCUGAGUUAUUGGAAGUGAUGCAGGCCCUACUUCUCUGAUUGGCACAAGGACUGAUAAACAUUUCAGGUAGCCCAGGAAGAGUUGAUGAGCCCAGCUGGAAGUUUUGGCUGAUCCCUAGGAAAGGCUCAGCAGCACCAACACGAGCUCUGGAAAACAAUCCCCUUCUCCCAAGACAAUAUCUGGGAUAUGGAAAUAAAUAAAUGGAACCCUGCCUUAUAUUUCCUUAGAAAACAGGGUUAGAGAGCUCAAGGAUCCUCUGUGGGGACCUGAGCUUCCCCCAGCACUGCAGUGCUGGAGCUGGAUGAGCCCCACCAUCUUUAAUCAGAUCACUGGAAAUAUACAGAUGCUGAUCCGAACCCAAAUGGAAAUCUUACAUUAGGACAGAAUAUGGUGUAGGUGUUUUGGAAGCGUGGAUGUGUUCAGUGAAACACUCUCCCUCUGCGGAUGCUAACCUCGCUCGGACUUGUUUGUUCUGCAGCACCUUCCUUGCUCUGUAUGGUUACAAUUUAGCUUGCAUUUUUUUUAACCUAAAAAAAAAAAAAAGAAAAGGGGUAAAGUGAGAAAACAGAGGGUGGGGGGGAGAGUGAAAAAAAAAAAAAAAGAGAUUUUUAAAUCAACUGUCAUUUCUGGCAAGGCUGAGGAUCCCGGCAAGGUAUUUGUUUAUUAUCAGGUAUUUCCUCAGGAUCAAAUCCAGAGGAGAGAAGUCUGGUACUAGUUAAAGUCUGUUUAAAAUCCUUCUUGAAAAGAGAUUUAUGCGAGGAAAUUACCUAACCUCAGGACAGAGGCUUAGUCAGAGGCAGCGUGGUUCAGCCGCUCGCAGUGCGCGGCUUUUUUUAGCCCCACUGAAGGCACCCAGUGAGAACAGCGGCAGAUUUUCGCUCACAUAACGGGAUCAAAGCUCCCAAUUGUUUCGAAGGAAAUGACCCAGCGGGAGGAGCGUGGUGGGCACUGCUGUUUGCUCCCAGCCUCC
Molecule: long non-coding RNA, 2133 nt
Filed under: Gallus gallus (chicken)
Lineage: Eukaryota; Metazoa; Chordata; Aves; Galliformes; Phasianidae
Description: lncRNA (ENSGALG00010030029.1)
Source: RNAcentral